UGUGGCUCAGUUGGUAGAGUUCUUGCCUAGGAUGCAUGAAGCCCUGGGUUUGGUUCCUAGCA
This 62-nucleotide transfer RNA is filed under the name Mesocricetus auratus (golden hamster). It matches the Rfam family "tRNA", at positions 6 to 65 of the family's 71-position model. Rfam says of the family: Transfer RNA (tRNA) molecules are approximately 80 nucleotides in length. Their secondary structure includes four short double-helical elements and three loops (D, anti-codon, and T loops). The record is from Rfam by way of RNAcentral. Lineage: Eukaryota; Metazoa; Chordata; Mammalia; Rodentia; Cricetidae.